ACGUUUCAAAACCCAACAAAAGUUAUAAAACCCGGACACUCAUUCAACCAUAAAUCCAAUUAUACCAAAUUUACUAAAUUUCGACGCCAAAUCAUCAUGCAAAUCUCCAAAUUUAAUUCUCCAAUUCCUAGCCCAAAACUCAUAAAACUCCACCUUAAAAACACACAAACUAGAUAGGAAAUUCAGUGGGUAAUCAAUUUAUUGAAUAAAAAUGAUUAAAAGUAGCUUACCUCAAGAAAUUACUUGGCUUACCUUAAGAAAUCAC
Molecule: long non-coding RNA, 265 nt
Filed under: Nicotiana benthamiana
Lineage: Eukaryota; Viridiplantae; Streptophyta; Magnoliopsida; Solanales; Solanaceae
Description: long non-coding RNA (NBEN_LNC029725)
Source: RNAcentral